GAAGAAAAAAGUUUUCUGUGAACCUUUAUUGUGAAAUAUCAAAUGCGUAAAAGAGGAGGAGAUCUUGCCAGUUGUGCAGCGAAGCGGCGGAAACAAAAAGAAUAUCGACGAAAUGAAACGGAAGAAGAGCACAAAGGACGUUUAUAAAAUCAAUGAACCAGAAUGAGCACCCUGAUAAGCAGAAAAAGCGAAGAAAGAAAAGAAAAUAAAAGUAUUGAGG
RNAcentral lists this unclassified non-coding RNA (220 nucleotides) under Melitaea cinxia (Glanville fritillary). Its description in RNAcentral is "misc RNA ENSMCXG00005000870.1". The record is from RNAcentral. Lineage: Eukaryota; Metazoa; Arthropoda; Insecta; Lepidoptera; Nymphalidae.